GCUCGGGAGACGCGCUCCUGGGCACCCGGGGGGCAGUGCGCCUGCAUCUUCUGGUGGAGAGAGAUCUUGACAGGACCCCGGGUUCCCGGUGGUGAUUGUGUUCUGUUUUCCGUGUCAGUGACGGUGGUAGGUUACAUUUUUUUAUUUUUAUUUUUAUUUUUUUUCAGGCUCAUCAUGAUUUUUUUUUCUUCCCCUCCGUUACAGAUCUAAGCCAACCUGACGGAUGGUCCAGGAAGGCAGGAUCCAGAUGUGCAAACCCCACGUGCACACCGAGGCAGAGAUCAUCAGCGGUCAGAUGCAGCUGUGGUGUAACUGACCACGUUCCUGGAAACCUCAUUCUGUUAUGGUCUUGCCGGGAAGAAAGGUGACUGUAAAACUGGAAAUAGAUUCUGAUGACCAGUUUUAGGUUUUAAGUAGAAUGACUUAAGAAGAAUUCAUUAUCUCCAGGCAUUUAAAAAUUUUUUUAAUUUAUUUAGAUUUUUUUUUUUUUUUUUGGCAAGGCGUUAGUCUUCGGUGCAUGACACAUGUUGCUGUCCACUUUCUGUUGUGUCACAGAAGCGAGCGGUGUCUUUUUGUUGGAGUUGAAAUGUUGUCUGCUCAGGACUUCCAGUGUGCUGCCGGGCUGUAUAAAUUACUUUUAAUGUGUUGCGGUGGAUGGUGGAUGUCAUCAAUCUUUUUUUUUAAUUAGCAAAGCUUAGUAGAUAAAUGGCAUCCGAGUUUCCAACUGGGAGGGGAGGUAUAGCUAGCACAGUGGUGAGAGAGGAAGGUGAUGCCCACUUGCAACACUUCCCAUAGAACUCUGACGGGGGGAGAGUGAAUUGCAGAGAUACUUUGCUAUGUUUGUGAGAAAGAGGAGAAUCUUAGAAAAUAACCAGAGGAUCAUUUUGUUCGUUCUACAGGUCAUGGGGAGUCUUAUACUUGGUUAUUUUUCUGACACAUGUUGGCUAACCUAAUGGGAAUUGAUUUGUAAUCUGACUGCCUUGAAUCUCUUGCAUUUUAAAUUUAUUACAAUGCAUUAAGAAAUAACUGAUGACUCCACUUCAGCAUGUUUAUGUUUUGAGCUCACAAAUUUAGAAUUUUAAAGUAAGUUCAGGUAAUGCAUGUAUCGUGGUAUAUUCAUGCUGAACCCCAUCUUUAUCAUCUAAGUUUCCCCCCCAAAUGCCAGUGUAGCUGAAUAGCUGAGGUGUUCUUUUGUGGGUUUUUUUUUUUCCUCUGGUAGAAAAAUCUAAAGUAAUUAAAAUUAACUGAUUUUUAUCAUCUUGGAAACUUGGGUUGUGAAGUUCUGUUCAACUUACAAAUCUUUUAAGCAUUUGGAGAUCAAACACAUUUGUCAUAACAAGGAAAUUACUUCUCUUAACGUAGAACUCUAAGGGACUUGAAAAACGUGUUUUGAACAACUUGUUCCUUGAACAUGACGUGGCUUUAUAGAUAAUGCUUUGAAUUUUUUAAGGAAUUAACAUGUGUUUGUGCUGGCUGCACCCAUUUAUGCAAUCCGUCUAGUGACCAAAAACUUGUUUAUAUGAUGUGUAUCUGGGGUUAGGGAUAUGGUGCAUAAUCUUAGCAUUUCAAUGUCUUUCUCUUUAUAAAGCUUGACUUGUA
Long non-coding RNA from Myotis brandtii (Brandt's bat), 1599 nucleotides. RefSeq lists it as uncharacterized. The record is from RefSeq and is a predicted model, not a curated record. Lineage: Eukaryota; Metazoa; Chordata; Mammalia; Chiroptera; Vespertilionidae. The transcript has 2 exons.